This 241-nucleotide ribosomal RNA is filed under the name Bacillus sp. m3-13. Its description in RNAcentral is "partial 16S ribosomal RNA". It matches the Rfam family "Bacterial small subunit ribosomal RNA", at positions 114 to 348 of the family's 1533-position model. Lineage: Bacteria; Bacillati; Bacillota; Bacilli; Caryophanales; Bacillaceae. The record is from RNAcentral.
ACUGUGGGCAACCUGCCUGUAAGACUGGGAUAACUUCGGGAAACCGGAGCUAAUACCGGAUAAUAUAAGGAACCUCCUGGUUCUUUAUUGAAAGAUGGUUUCGGCUAUCACUUACAGAUGGGCCCGCGGCGCAUUAGCUAGUUGGUGAGGUAAUGGCUCACCAAGGCGACGAUGCGUAGCCGACCUGAGAGGGUGAUCGGCCACACUGGGACUGAGACACGGCCCAGACUCCUACGGGAGG